RNAcentral lists this ribosomal RNA (406 nucleotides) under uncultured bacterium. Its description in RNAcentral is "partial 16S ribosomal RNA". It matches the Rfam family "Bacterial small subunit ribosomal RNA", at positions 28 to 526 of the family's 1533-position model. The record is from RNAcentral.
GUUGAACGCUGGCGGAAUGCUUAACACAUCAGCAAUGGAUUGGUGGCGGACGGGUGAGUAACGAGUAAAGAACUUGCAUCACAGCUAGGGCCAACAUUUGGAAGCGAAUGCUAAUACCUAAUACUGUGAGAGAGCUUUGGGUCCCAUUAGCUAGUUGGAGAGGUAACGGCUCACAAAGGCGAGGAUGGGUAGCCGGCCUGAGAGGGUGAUCGGCCACAAGGGGCCUGAGACACGGCCCUUACUCCUUCGUGAGGCAUCAGCGGGGAAUAUAGAACAAUGGACCAAAGUCUGAUCCAGCACUUCUGUGUGCAAAAUGAUUUUUUCGGAAUGAAAAGUGCUUUCAGUGGGGAAGCGUUACCAACAGAAGAAGUGACGGCUAAAUACGUGCCAGCAGCCGCGGUAAUUC